RNAcentral lists this ribosomal RNA (481 nucleotides) under uncultured bacterium. Its description in RNAcentral is "partial 16S ribosomal RNA". It matches the Rfam family "Bacterial small subunit ribosomal RNA", at positions 28 to 507 of the family's 1533-position model. The record is from RNAcentral.
GACGAACGUUGGCGGCGUGCUUAAUACAUGCAAGUCAACUGAAGCAGUGGUAGCAAUAUCGCUGUGGAGGUGGCGCACGGGUGAGUAACACGUAGGUAAUCUGCCUUCAGGUCUGGCAUAACUCCAGGAAACCGGGGCUAAUAGCAGAUGAUGCAGCGGCUCGACAUCGAGACAGUUGUUAAAGCUAUGGCGCCUGAAGAUGAGCCUGCGUCUGAUUAGCUAGUUGGCGGGGUAACGGCCCACCAAGGCAACGAUCAGUAGCUGGUCUGAGAGGAUGAUCAGCCACACUGGAACUGAGACACGGUCCAGACUCCUACGGGAGGCAGCAGUAAGGAAUAUUGCUCAAUGGGAGAAAUCCUGAAGCAGCAACGCCGCGUGAGGGACGAAGGGCUUUUGCUUGUAAACCUCUGUAGUGAGAGAAAAAAAUCCCAAUCUUUGGGACAUGAUGGUAUCUCAAAAGUAAGCCCCGGCUAACUACGUG